RNAcentral lists this ribosomal RNA (128 nucleotides) under Butyricimonas faecihominis. RNAcentral's name for it is "partial 16S ribosomal RNA". It matches the Rfam family "Bacterial small subunit ribosomal RNA", at positions 1404 to 1533 of the family's 1533-position model. The record is from RNAcentral. Lineage: Bacteria; Pseudomonadati; Bacteroidota; Bacteroidia; Bacteroidales; Odoribacteraceae.
AUGGAAGCCGGGAGUACCUGAAGAUCGUGACCGCGAGGAACGGGCUAGGGUAAUACCGGUAACUGGGGCUAAGUCGUAACAAGGUAGCCGUACCGGAAGGUGCGGCUGGAACACCUCCUUUCUGGAGC